AAACUUUGGAACUUGAAGCAAUAAUUGGAGCUUAAAGCUAAUAUUAAAAUUUGAAGUUGCUUAAGGACCAUUGUGAGCAAUUCUUGGAACUCUUGUAUUUUAAUUGUAUCACUUCUUUGAAUGCUUGUGAUAGCCCUUGUUGAGGCUCAUUAUAUUGCUUUAUCUUUGUCCAAGCAUAGGCCCUUGUUGAGGCUAUUAUUUGUUGCAUUUGGAUUUUGAAUGUGGAUGGAGCCAAUGUUUGAUCCAAGUUUGGGGGGGAAAUUACAUCCCUUCACCUUAUGCCCCUCCAUCAUAUUUUAAUCCUUAUGAGAUUGAGUCUAAUUCAUUUCAUGCAUCAUCUUAUUAUGGACUUGAUCACUCAUUUAAUCCUUCCUAUGACUAUUGCCCUCCACCACCAUUUUAUGAUGAACCAAUUCCACCACCUUCUUGGUACUCACCCGGAUUUGAAGAAAAAGUAUUAGCUUUACUUGAUAUGCAUAUUUCACAAACUCCACUUAUUAAUUCUCAUUCUCGAACUUUAGCCAAGCUUGAAGCUCAAGUUGAGCAAAUUGCAAGUAUUCUUUCUCGUCAAGAGGAAGAGGAAGAGGCAAAUGAAAAAAUGACAAGAACUUCAAUGUAUAUAGAUGAGGAUGAUGAGAGUGAAGAGGAUGAGACAAGUGAGCUAAUGCCUAAUACUCUAUCUUGUAUAGAGGAGGAAGUGGCAAAUGAGUUAGUAACUAAUCCAAUAGAGCAUAAUAUGAUUAAUGAGGACUUUCCUUGCUUUGAUUAUGAUUUUAUCUAUGACCUUGCUACUUUAGAGAGUGAGGAGAUUUUAUUUAUGACAUUAAGGUAGGAGAGGAAGAAGAGGAAUUUGUUGAAGAGGGCCUUCCUUCUAUUAUCUCUAAUGACCCUCUUAAGACAUGUCUUUUUGAAAUGUAUAAAAAUUGUGGUUUUAACCUUGAAAGCUCAAAAAAUGAAGUGAACUCUCUAAUGGACUCCUUAGCUAACUUGGAAGGUAAAGAGAUGGUGAUUUUUUAGGAGGAGAAAAAGGAUAAAGAGAAGGUGUUCCUUGAUAUUCCAAAUGAGUCUUUGAAAGACAUUGACUUGCCAAUUCACAAAGGAAGUGAUUCUUUAAAUACACUUCAAGAGUACAAAAUUAAGGCAAGGCUAACCAUAAUUGAUUUUGUUUUCAAGACCGUGGAUGAAAGGAACGAAAUUAACUCUUUCAUUUCUUUUCAAGUCAUUCUUUUGGAGGAUGAUUUCAUUGUCAUAAGUGAGGCAUCAAAUGAGAAAAUGCAAAAGAGGGUCAAUAAGGAUGUUUCAUAUCCAGUUUUUGAUUCGUUUGAUUAGUGAGUUGACCCAACGUCUUGCUAGAGACGUUAAAUACUAGUAUUCGUAGAGUUUCACAACUCUAUUCCUCCCUCAUUUUUUUUUGUUUUUCAUUUCUUGCGAAUUCUAGAUAUUGGCUUUGGGUUCAUAUACAUUGCUAGGAACUGUGAUAAGGAUUGCAUGCACUUUCUUGUUGAAAUUGAGCAUUUUAUAUAAGUUCGAUCGAUCUCAAAUGAGAGUUCGAUUGAUCGAACUUUAUUCCUGCAGCAAACCUGCAUCCAAAUCACUCUCUGUCUCAUUAAUCCAAGGAAAAUUUAGGAUCUCAGUUCUUUGUUAGAUUGAUCAGAAGACCUUCGAUCGAUCCAAACUCCAAGUUCGAUUGAUCCAAACUCCAAGUUCAAUCGAUCUUGAGUUCCCACACUAAGAAAAAUUUUGAGCCUCCAUCAACCUGCAUAUUUCAGCUCUCUAUCAGAUCGAUCGAAAACAUUCCUAGAUCGAUCUAAAGUUCUUCGAUCAGUCUAACUUCAUUAUUGAGUCAAUCUUGAGAUUCCAUACUCAGAAAAAAUUUCAAAGCACUGCAAAUUUCAUACUCUCUAUCCCAUCGUGCGAGCAUAGAUCGAUCACAGCUUUGCCCCUUUGACUUUUUGACUUUUUCCUUUUUCUAUUUUUAUUUUAUUUUUUUCAUUUUCUUUUUCCAAAAAGAAAAAAGUUUUAAAAUUUGUUAAAAAUACAAAAAUAUUUUUGUUCAAAAUAUUUUAUUUUCGAAAACUCCAAAAAGAUUUUUAUUUUCAUUUUUACUUUUAUUUCCAAGAUUUAUUUUUAUUUCAAAUAAAAAAAAAUCCCAAAAACAUUUUUCUUUUAUUUUAUUUUCCUUUUAUCUUAUUUCCAAAAAUAUUUUGUUUACUUUAAUUUUUAAUUUUUAAUUUUUAAUUAAAAAAAAUAUAUAUCUUUCUUUGCAUUAUUUAUUUCUUUGCAUUUUUACUUCUUGCAUUGUUAUUUACUUGCCUUCUUAUUUUUGUUUGUGUAUAUAUUUGUUUUGUCUAAAUAAAAGAAAAAUAAUAAAUAAAAGAGAUGGUUAUCAAAGAAGCAUUCUGUCUUGCUAGAGACGUUAAACUUAGCACCCAUUUUGCAUAGUUCUUGCAUUUUUCGUUUUUCUUUGUACUUAAUUCUAAUAAAAUAAAAUAAAAUAAAAUAAAGGUAUUUAUUUUCAAUUUUCAUUAUUUUGUUCUUGCAUCCUUUUUUACUUUUUAGUUUUCAGUUCUUGCAUUGUAUAAAUUCUUUCAUUAUAUUUUACCUUCUUUAUUUUUCUUUUUGAAUUUUGUUCAUGCAUUUUAUUCUUUGUUUUUCUUGUAUUUUGUAUAUACUUGUUUUCAUUAAAUGAAAAAAAAUAUAAAAAAUUCAUCAUUGUGCCCUUAUGUAUAUUCAUGCAUACUUUAUGCUUUAGUUAAGACUUGAUCUCAUAUCUCUUUUUCAUCUUGUGCUAUAUUGUCUUGGAAUGCUCGAUUUGCUUAUCUUAUCCCAUUUGAUAUUUGAUGUGAGUUUGCUAGUGUGGUUAUUCAAGUAGGUUGUUGAUUCCGAGUUUGGGCGAGACGUUUUUCGAAUUGGAUCAUGACCAGGCUUCAUGUCUUUGCUACCACGGUUAAGAAUGUUAAAAUGGGCUAAAAAUGGUUUCUUAAGGCCUUUUUGGAGUCAAACUAAGUCUUAGUGAUGAUCUGAAGCAAAAAGAGGACGAUUUUGGAGCAAAAAGAGGCUGAUGCUGAAAAUCUACCAAGUUGGAUCCAUCCAACUUUCUGAGAAAAGUUGGAUCCAUCGGAAAUCAAAUUUGGAUCAAUCCAACUUUUUGAAAAAGUUAGAUCGAUCGAAAAUCAAAGUUGGAUCGAUCGAACUUUUACUGGCAGCAAGCUGUCUUAUUCCGUGCGCGCCCAAAAGUUCACCUAUCACAUAGAACGGGAUUAGAUAUUUUUUGGCCUAUAUUCCUAACUUAAUGACUAAGAAAAAAACCUUCUAUAUAAAGGGAAGUGACCCAUUUGUAAAGGAGCUUUUUAUCUUUUUAUUUUUUACAUUGUAUUUUUUAUUUCUCUCUCUAGCAAAGUUAGAGAUUAGGGUUAGAAGAAAAGAGGGAAGUGGAGGCACAUCUCAAGACCCAUCUCUAGACCCACUCUCUCUCCAUCUCUAGAGCUUCAAAGAAAAAGAAGAAGAAUAGGAAGAAGAAGAUGGAGCCAUGUUUGGAGCUUGAUUCCAUGACCACAUCCACCUCCUCCAUGAUUGGCUAGAUCUAUACUUAGGGCUUGGAUGAGCCCUAAGUCUUGUGUAAUCUAAACCCUUGUAUUUCUAUUUUUGGGGAUUUAUAUAUAUUGUUGUGAUUAGUGUUCUAGCCUUGUGAAUUUAA
Cornus florida is the source of this 3697-nucleotide long non-coding RNA. RefSeq lists it as uncharacterized. Lineage: Eukaryota; Viridiplantae; Streptophyta; Magnoliopsida; Cornales; Cornaceae. The transcript is spliced from 2 exons. The record is from RefSeq and is a predicted model, not a curated record.